Molecule: ribosomal RNA, 496 nt
Filed under: uncultured bacterium
Lineage: Bacteria
Description: partial 16S ribosomal RNA
Rfam family: Bacterial small subunit ribosomal RNA
Source: RNAcentral
AUGAACGCUGGCGGCGUGCCUAAUACAUGCAAGUCGAGCGAACGGACGAGAAGCUUGCUUUUCUGAUGUUAGCGGCGGACGGGUGAGUAACACGUGGAUAACCUACCUAUAAGACUGGGAUAACUUCGGGAAACCGGAGCUAAUACCGGAUAAUAUUUUGAACCGCAUGGUUCAAAAGUGAAAGACGGUCUUGCUGUCACUUAUAGAUGGAUCCGCGCUGCAUUAGCUAGUUGGUAAGGUAACGGCUUACCAAGGCAACGAUGCAUAGCCGACCUGAGAGGGUGAUCGGCCACACUGGAACUGAGACACGGUCCAGACUCCUACGGGAGGCAGCAGUAGGGAAUCUUCCGCAAUGGGCGAAAGCCUGACGGAGCAACGCCGCGUGAGUGAUGAAGGUCUUCGGAUCGUAAAACUCUGUUAUUAGGGAAGAACAUAUGUAUAAGUAACUGUGCACAUCUUGACGGUACCUAAUCAGAAAGCCACGGCUAACUACGUG